Molecule: ribosomal RNA, 253 nt
Filed under: uncultured prokaryote
Description: partial 16S ribosomal RNA
Rfam family: Bacterial small subunit ribosomal RNA
Source: RNAcentral
ACAGAGGGGGCAAGCGUUGUUCGGAAUUACUGGGCGUAAAGGGCGCGUAGGCGGCCUGUUAAGUCGAACGUGAAAUCCCCAGGCUCAACCUGGGAACUGCGUCCGAAACUGGCAGGCUUGAAUCCGGGAGAGGGAUGUGGAAUUCCAGGUGUAGCGGUGAAAUGCGUAGAUAUCGGAAGGAACAUCAGUGGCGAAAGCGACUUCCUGGACCAAUACUGACGCUCAUGUGCGAAAGCGUGGGGAGCAAACAGGA